GAUGAAGAACGCAGCGAAAUGCGAUAAGUAAUGUGAAUUGCAGAAUUCAGUGAAUCAUCGAAUCUUUGAACGCACAUUGCGCCCGCCAGUAUUCUGGCGGGCAUGCCUGUCCGAGCGUCAUUUCAACCCUCGAACCCCUCCGGGGGGUCGGCGUUGGGGACCUCGGGAGCCCCUAAGACGGGAUCCCGGCCCCGAAAUACAGUGGCGGUCUCGCCGCAGCCUCUCCUGCGCAGUAGUUUGCACAUCUCGCACCGGGAGCGCGGCGCGUCCACGUCCGUAAAACACCCAACUUCUGAAAUGUUGACCUCGGAUCAGGUAGGAAUACCCGCUGAACUUAAGCAUAUCAAUAAGCGGAGGA
RNAcentral lists this unclassified non-coding RNA (358 nucleotides) under soil metagenome. RNAcentral's name for it is "partial contains 5.8S ribosomal RNA, internal transcribed spacer 2, and large subunit ribosomal RNA". The stretch from base 1 to 120 matches the Rfam family "5.8S ribosomal RNA", at positions 35 to 154 of the family's 154-position model. The record is from RNAcentral.